AUGUGGCACUUUUCAGAUUUUGAGAUUCAAACAAGUUUAACUUUGACCGUAAAUUUUUCAUAAAUUUUUGAAAUAUUUUGAAUUAUCAAUUGUUAUGACUUAUAGUACUUUUUAUGUAGUUUACAAAUAUAUAAAUUUCAUUUCAAGAAAAUUGAAGAUUUCAUGCGCAAAUUUCCGGUCAAACUUAAAUUGUUUGACUCUCGAAAAAUGAAAAGUGCCACAUAA
This 225-nucleotide microRNA precursor is filed under the name Solanum tuberosum (potato). RNAcentral's name for it is "MIR8007 microRNA precursor family". It matches the Rfam family "MIR8007 microRNA precursor family". Lineage: Eukaryota; Viridiplantae; Streptophyta; Magnoliopsida; Solanales; Solanaceae. The record is from Rfam by way of RNAcentral.